AGGGUUUGAUCAUGGCUCAGAACGUACGCUGGCGGCACGCCUAACACAUGCAAGUCGAACGAAGUAGCAAUACUUAGUGGCAGACGGGUGAGUAACAUGUAGGUAUCUGCCCUUUGGCCUGGAAUAACACGAGGAAACUUGUGCUAAUACCGGAUAAGUCUUUACAGAGAAAGCUUUAUGCACCAUUGGAUGAGCCUGCACUUGAUUAGUUUGUUGGUGGGGUAAUGGCCUACCAAGACUGUGAUCAAUAGCUGAUUUGAGAGGAUGAUCAGCCACAUUGGGACUGAGACACGGCCCAAACUCCUACGGGAGGCAGCAGUGGGGAAUCUUGCACAAUGGAGGAAACUCUGAUGCAGCGAUGCCGCGUGAGUGAAGAAGGCCCUUGGGUUGUAAAGCUCUUUCGUCGGGGAAGAAAAUGACUGUACCCGAAUAAGAAGGUCCGGCUAACUUCGUGCCAGCAGCCGCGGUAAUAC
Molecule: ribosomal RNA, 473 nt
Filed under: uncultured bacterium
Lineage: Bacteria
Description: bacterial SSU rRNA
Rfam family: Bacterial small subunit ribosomal RNA
Source: RNAcentral